RNAcentral lists this ribosomal RNA (1178 nucleotides) under Salmonella enterica subsp. enterica serovar Newport. Its description in RNAcentral is "bacterial LSU rRNA". It matches the Rfam family "Bacterial large subunit ribosomal RNA", at positions 1 to 1211 of the family's 2925-position model. Lineage: Bacteria; Pseudomonadati; Pseudomonadota; Gammaproteobacteria; Enterobacterales; Enterobacteriaceae. The record is from RNAcentral.
GGGUUGUGAGGUUAAGCGACUAAGCGUACACGGUGGAUGCCCUGGCAGUCAGAGGCGAUGAAGGGCGUGCUAAUCUGCGAUAAGCGCCGGUAAGGUGAUAUGAACCGUUAUAACCGGCGAUACCCGAAUGGGGAAACCCAGUGUGAUUCGUCACACUAUCAUUACGUGAAUACAUAGCGUAAUGAAGCGAACCGGGGGAACUGAAACAUCUAAGUACCCCGAGGAAAAGAAAUCAACCGAGAUUCCCCCAGUAGCGGCGAGCGAACGGGGAGGAGCCCAGAGCCUGAAUCAGCAUGUGUGUUAGUGGAAGCGUCUGGAAAGGCGCGCGAUACAGGGUGACAGCCCCGUACACAAAAGCGCAUGUGCUGUGAGCUCGAUGAGUAGGGCGGGACACGUGGUAUCCUGUCUGAAUAUGGGGGGACCAUCCUCCAAGGCUAAAUACUCCUGACUGACCGAUAGUGAACCAGUACCGUGAGGGAAAGGCGAAAAGAACCCCGGCGAGGGGAGUGAAAAAGAACCUGAAACCGUGUACGUACAAGCAGUGGGAGCACCCUUUGGGGUGUGACUGCGUACCUUUUGUAUAAUGGGUCAGCGACUUAUAUUCUGUAGCAAGGUUAACCGUAUAGGGGAGCCGAAGGGAAACCGAGUCUUAACCGGGCGUUAAGUUGCAGGGUAUAGACCCGAAACCCGGUGAUCUAGCCAUGGGCAGGUUGAAGGUUGGGUAACACUAACUGGAGGACCGAACCGACUAAUGUUGAAAAAUUAGCGGAUGACCUGUGGCUGGGGGUGAAAGGCCAAUCAAACCGGGAGAUAGCUGGUUCUCCCCGAAAGCUAUUUAGGUAGCGCCUCGUGAAUUCAUCUCCGGGGGUAGAGCACUGUUUCGGCUAGGGGGCCAUCCCGGCUUACCAACCCGAUGCAAACUGCGAAUACCGGAGAAUGUUAUCACGGGAGACACACGGCGGGUGCUAACGUCCGUCGUGAAGAGGGAAACAACCCAGACCGCCAGCUAAGGUCCCAAAGUCAUGGUUAAGUGGGAAACGAUGUGGGAAGGCCCAGACAGCCAGGAUGUUGGCUUAGAAGCAGCCAUCAUUUAAAGAAAGCGUAAUAGCUCACUGGUCGAGUCGGCCUGCGCGGAAGAUGUAACGGGGCUAAACCAUGCACCGAAGCUGCGGCAGCGA